Molecule: long non-coding RNA, 203 nt
Organism: Manacus vitellinus (golden-collared manakin)
Lineage: Eukaryota; Metazoa; Chordata; Aves; Passeriformes; Pipridae
Exons: 3
Source: RefSeq, a predicted model, not a curated record
CCGAAAAACUUAGUGGGUAAAUAGCCCAAGGCAAAUAACUGAAGCUCAGAACAAGCGUGACUCAGCAGCUGCUGCCGGCUACACCCAGACGAGCCAAACACCACCCGGAAAACUGCAUUCUGUGAGUGUCUGUGUGUGACUCACGGCUGCCCUGCCCACUUGAUACGAAUAUCAAAGGAGUCCAGAACCACAUGAAUUUCAAC